CGGAGUCCACGGUGCUCUCA
RNAcentral lists this microRNA (20 nucleotides) under Callorhinchus milii (elephant shark). RNAcentral describes it as "eshark_mir-1289_1". Lineage: Eukaryota; Metazoa; Chordata; Chondrichthyes; Chimaeriformes; Callorhinchidae. The record is from RNAcentral.